CGUGUAGGCGGACUAGCAAGUCAGAGGUGAAAACCGCAGGCUUAACCUGCGGCCUGCCUUUGAAACUGCCAGUCUUGAGUACGGGAGAGGAAAGCGGAAUUCCAGGUGUAGCGGUGACAUGCGUAGAUAUCUGGAAGAACAUCGGUGGCGAAGGCGGCUUUCUGGACCGAUACUGACGCUGAGGCGCGAAAGCUAGGGGAGCAAACAGGAUUAGAUACCCUGGUAGUCC
RNAcentral lists this ribosomal RNA (229 nucleotides) under uncultured bacterium. RNAcentral describes it as "partial 16S ribosomal RNA". It matches the Rfam family "Bacterial small subunit ribosomal RNA", at positions 568 to 796 of the family's 1533-position model. The record is from RNAcentral.